This 38404-nucleotide long non-coding RNA is filed under the name Arabidopsis thaliana (thale cress). Its description in RNAcentral is "long non-coding RNA (ATHA_LNC000689)". The record is from RNAcentral. Lineage: Eukaryota; Viridiplantae; Streptophyta; Magnoliopsida; Brassicales; Brassicaceae.
GGCAAUGGCAGAUUGGGACCUACCACUGGAGGUAUGGGUAGCCCUGAAAUCGGAGGAAGGGGUAGCUUAGGGACGGUCACUGGAGGAACGGGUAGCUUAGGUACAGUUACCGGGGGAACGGGUAGCUUAGGGACUGUCACUGGAGGAACGGGUAGCUUGGGGACGGUCACUGGAGGAACGGGUAGCUUGGGGACGGUCACAGGAGGAACGGGUAGCUUAGGUACAGUCACUGGUGGAACGGGUAGCUUAGGGAUGGUCACAGGAGGAACGGGUAGCUUAGGGACGGUCACCGGAGGGACUGGUAGCUUAGGGACGGUCACCGGAGGAACUGGUAGCUUAGGGACGGUCACCGGAGGAACUGGUAGCUUAGGGGCUUUAGGGGAGUGCUUUCCGCCCUUCCGUGGGUUGCAAGAGCCGCAUGCGAGAGAAUGUUGGGGGAGAUAGAUAAUGCAAAUGAGGAAGAGGCAAAGAGAGAGAGAUGAGAGUUUGGAGGAGUCCAUGUUGAGUAGAGUGGAUGGUGUAACUAUACGAAAGAGUAUAUGAAUAUAUAGAGGGAAAAUGAGAAGAAGAAUUCACGUGAAGAUGGGGGCUACUUCUGCAAUAAGAAGAGACGCCCCAAAAUAAGCAUGGUUGGCAAUUAUCAUAAGAAUACAAGAUUUCCUUGAUGACCCAUCGCUAUAUAUCAUCACAUGUCGACCACACUUUUUUCACUUUUUUUUUUCUAAGUGCCUCUUGUUCUUGGGUUAACUACAACUUUUAACAACGUGUAACUUCAGUUUCAACAGUACAGUACAUUUAACUUGUAGGAAUUGUAAUGAAUCAACUUAGCGAGACUAGGUCAUUAUGAGAUAUCAUCAAUACUAAAUAACAUUUUGAUGAUGUAAACACUCUAGGAAAAGCAGAUAAUAUAGUAUCAUAUGGUUUUCGCUUUAGUGUGUGGCUUCAUAAGCAUCUCCAUGCAUGAGUCGACUGCUAAGGAACAUAUAGAUCUGCACCAUAGUGAAGACGGCUUAGUCUAUUCAAAACACUAAUGUUGUGCCUUUCGAGGACCUCCCGAGACUCGAAUUCGAAUGCACUCUCCAAAGGUAUUAUGUUAGGGAAAAAACCUUAUUAAACCAAAUAUGUUACUGUUUAACCCAUACACGAAAAUUAGAUAUAUAAAUGUUGAACAAAUAGCAUAUAGUUAUAUCCAAUAUAUACGUACAUGAGAGGUAAAGAAGACAGCAAGACUGACAUGUGAAAUUCGGGAUACACUUUUGUUGUUUGGUGAUUUUGUUACGUAGUGUCAUUAAAGAAACGAUCAUGUGUGCGUGGACCAUCUUCUUCUUUUUACCGCUCAUUUCCCUUUUUACCAUAUCUACUACAAAAGAGUCCGAACUGACCAUUUAAUGAACGAGUACCAUUCAAUUCAUAAACUCCCCGUAUCAAUCUAACUGACACUGUAAAAGUUAUAAUGUUAAUAUAUAAAAAUAAUAUGGUUAUUUAGCAUGAAUAAUAACUUUUUAUAAUUGAGAGUAUGUCUAGCUAACAUUGGUGAUUGGUGCUUACAUAAAUCAUAUUUUUCAAACCACUUAACAAGAACUUUACAUAUUCAAUGAUAAACGAAUCACAUUUAUACAAUAUACCAUUCAAAAAUAAUAUUGUAAGAUGAUUUGAAAUUAAACGAUUGUAAUAUAUAAUGUGUUAAAAGUAAUGUAUUAUAGAUAUCUUGUAAUUAUUUAAAGGGUUUUGUGCAAAAAAAAAAACCACUAACUCAUACAUUUUUCCAAUUUACUAUCCAGCUCUAAUAAAUGCACAUUAAUCCUAUGAAUCUAAAAUAAUACGCAUUGUAACCCUUUUUGACCAUUUUUUGCUACCAUCAAUUUUGUAAAAUAUUGAUAUAUAAUAUGUUAAAUCAAAGCUCUCGCGACCAAGAGUUCAACUCUACCUUUAAAAAUUUUAAAAUGUAAUGUAUGUAACCGUAAAAACGCUUGUAAUAUGCAUAUGAAAUUUAUAUUACAUAUUAUGUUAAACUUCAUAAGAUUAAUCUGCAUUUGUUGGUAGUGCAUUUGUUAGAGGUGGAAGGUAAUGUUGCAAAAAUAGAUGAGUUAAAAGAUUUCUUUUUGCACAAAACCCUUUAUUUAAACUACUAACAAUAUAAUAUAUAAAUAAUUUAAAACAUAUAUCUCUAUAAUUCAUGAAGUAAUAAUGGUGUACCCUAUCCUUACCAACGAAUAAUAAAGAAAUGAUAUUAACUCUGAUUCAAAAGCUAUAUAUAAGAUAUUCUUUUUUUUUCCUCGGGAGGGAUACGAAUCCGGUAACAUGAAUCAGUGUCCAAUAAGAGCCAGUGGUCGUAAAUUCCAAAUGACAGAUGGAUGACUCAUUUUAAUUCGUAACUUUUGUCAGCUGCGAUAUAUGCUAAUGAAACCUGAGGUGCUAGAUUUUGAUUUUAAUGGCUUUAGAUUCUUACUCAACACUCAAUGGCCCACUCGUUAAUCUCUUACCUUCUAAAGUGAGUUAUGAUCCACUGCUUCUUUCUUCUUGUAGAUAGAUGGACCUGUUUUUUUUAGGUUGUGAUUUGUGGACAUUAAUCAACAACCCAUGUUUAUACGUGAUAAUGUCUGGAGCUAUAUGUAAAGGCGAUAUGGAGGACAACAUUCCUCUAUUCUAACUUUAAAAGCCAUGUAGUUAGGGCUGGACACCAAUAUUCUUUUUUUUUUUGCUAAAUUGUAAAUAUCAUUUUGAUGAAAAAUCAGGUUUUACAACAGUUGUAUAACCUAAAACAUUUGAACUCUUUGGCAAAAAAGAAUAAAAAAACGAAGAGCCAAUCGAGAGCUGCAUAGAACUCGGUAGUUUCAUAGCAGCCACAACGCUAUUAACUUGCGAAAAAGGAGUCUGUUUCUUCUUGAGGUGAUAACGUUUUUGAUUUUGCGGUUGAUGCACUUGAAUAUAGAAUGCGGAGAGAGGGAAGUAGCGUUGUGCAGGACAUUGUUAGGCUGCUUCAAGAUGUGGAAGACCUUAGACUGAACGACAAUAAUUUUAAGAACUGAUGAAGCCAAUAUUCAUCAUUUUCAAACAAAAAAUAUCUUUUGUUUGACACCAAUAUCCUUGACCAGCUUCAAACAAAGGAUAUACAUCAUUUUUAAGUCGGGUAAGGCAAAUGAGUAUAAGGAUUCUCAUUACACAUCUGGUUGCCAAAAACUUUUAGUCAAAUACUAGUUACAAUCUCAGUUUUUUACCCCAAACUUUUUGCCACUUAAAAAACUAGGGGUGGGCAUUCGGGUAAGCGGGUCGGGUUCGGGUUCGGGUAAAACCCGAUCAGGUAUAAAGAAGUUUAGGAUCUAAUAGGGUAAAUCUAAAAUAUCGGUUCGGUUUCGAUUCGGGUCCAACCGGGUUCGGAUAUAGAUUUGUGGCCUUUUUUUAUCCAGAUUUUUCGGGUAAAAUUUUGGAUUUCGGAUAAAAUUUAGAUUUUUGAAUAAAAUAUUUGGGUAUUUUCGGGUUCGAGUUUGUUUUUUCGGGUAGAGAAAUUUAGGAUCCAGUAAAGUACAUCUUCGGAUUUGGAUUAAGUUUCAGCUCUAAUUUUUCGAGUUAGUUUCGGUUCGGAUAAUCGGUUCUGGUUUUUUGGCCCGGCUCUAUAGAAAACCAUCAAUAAAUAUUUUAAUCCUAUUUCUGCCUCAUUACUCGAGAAAAUAUUCGACCCGUUUUAUUACUUGAUAAAUUUACAACUAUAUAUUUAUGUAAUCUAUUUCAUAUUAGUAAAAUAUAUUAAAUUUGUUAUUAAAACCAAAUAUCUUUUGAGAUUAGGGCAAUCAAAAGUUAAGGUCAAGCAAAUGUCUCCUUUCUAAAUGUUUUUGUGGGUAACGGUAAAGGACAAAUAUACAGCCCAUGCCCAGACCUACAAGUAGCGACUCCAUUACUACACAGUAAGAUUUUUAUUAAUAAAAAUGUGCAUGGUUUCAUUUAAAAGUCAUUGCUAACACUUCACUUUACAGUAAUAUUCAAUUUCAUACCUUUAAACGUUAAUCAGAAUCGCCAAUUGGAAGCCAGUCACUGGAAUCACCUUCCGAAUCCUUGCUAUGUCCAACUUGGCUCUUGCUGAGCUGAACCCAGCUUGACCCGCUUGCGUUUGAUGCUGGUCUUUUCAGUGUACUCCUGUUGGGACUUGGCUUCUCCGAGAGAUCAUCGACAUCUAAAUCACUAAAGGAGAUUACCUCUUCAUCUCUGAAACUCCUCCGUUGUUCUUCAGAUGACUCAUCACUUAUCUCCCUUUGCUCAAUUUUUAGAGUCUCUAUCUUGUCAAUGACUCCCUCAACGGUUUCUGUUUCCCUACUGCUACCUUCUUCAGGAGUUUCGUGACCAGUAGUGCUCUUGCUUGACCCUGUCUCUUUCUUUUGCAGCUUUAGUAAAAGUUGAUCCCUUGUUUCAAAUACCUGUGCCGCACAAUAUAGUUAUUAAAGUUUCAGAAAUAGGUACAAUAGUAACUUGGGAAAAAAUGCAGAGCAUAAAAGAUAUAAAACAAUCCAAUUUUAAAAGCAUCAGGCAAAAAUACAUUUUUUCCUGAGGCUAUACUUGUUCUUAUUGCAAUCGGUUGAAGGGGUCAUUAUAGCAUAAACGUUUACGAUUUUAAUAAUAUUGGAUCAAUACUGACAUUUCAGAAGAAUGUAUUUCCAGUAUACAGUCUUACCUUGCAUGUUGCUAAGAGUUCAAAAUCAUGCCCAUUCAGUCUCGGCAUCAGCAAAAUAAAAUAAAUCAGCCAGAAGUGUUCAUCAUCCAUGUAACUACUAACUUGAUUCUUCACAGCUACAAGGCCAGGAACCAAAUCUUCAAUGGCUGAUGCAUGUGCCCUUUGAGCCUCAGACAGUUCAAAUUCUGCAAUGUGGACAUGAAAAGUUGGAGAAAAACUUCAGCAUAAUUCAGUAGGUAAAAUUGAUGUAAACCACCAAUGCUUUUUAUCAGGAAGUGUUUCGACAACAUUUUCAAGCAAACCAAGCCUAUAUACAAAAGGUUGUACAGGAUGACGAUAUGCUUCGCAAUAAAAUAAAUAAAAAGAUUUAAGUGGCAUAUGGAUUGAACUAUAUAUAUAUAUAUAUAUAUAUAUAUAUAUCCCAAGAAGAGACUGCAGACCCCGUCAAGUUUAUUCGUAAUUCCUGGAGAUCUAUCUAAAGAACAGGGACUUCAAAAAAAAAAAUUAACUGCAGAAACAAUCAAUCUUGUCCAAACAGGUCUAGAAUAAAACACAUCAAGAGUUAAAGACUGAAGCAUAAUCAUCUUUGGCGACUGAAAACAAGUCAACUAUAUUUCCAAGAACAAUCAUGUUUAUUCCUGCAUGGCUGCAAGUUCGUCGACAAUAUCUUCAAGGUAUGAAAAAUGUGAUCUACAGAGAGUAAUGGGACCCCGAGAUCCUAAAGACCUGAGCUUGAAGAAAUAUAUCCCAAGAGGAGAUGGCAGGACCGGUCUAACCUAAUCUAAAAUACUAGGAAAUCUCUCUAAAGAACACCAGAGGCUACAAGCAAUCAACUGUACAAACAAAAAAAAUAUUUUCCUAAUAAAUCACAGUAAGAAAAUCAUAACUAAACAUAGAUAGUUAGAAACCACCAAUGCGGUGCUUCGACUAUACUUUCAAACUAACAAAGCCUAUAUACUGGGAACAAAAAUAUGCUUGAAGAAAUAUGUCCAAAUAAGCUUAAUCUGUAACCCUAGUGAUCCCACUAGAAAGCCAAUCAACUGUAGAAGCAAUCAAUCUUUUCCAAAUAAAACCUAUUUUAGUAACAAUUAUGUUUGCCUACUGGGAAAAAAAAAAGUCAAUGCAGAGCUUAAGACUAUUGAGAAUCAAGCUUUAUGAUUCCUCUAUUGACUAUACAGGAGCAUUACCAGUAUCGAGUGACAAUGGAAAAUCUGUCCAACAACCAGGUUUCGUCGAGAUUUUAACAGCGAAAUCGACUACUUCUUCAGAGAUUCCAGGAACUUGAUCGUUCAACGGAGAUCUUCUACUACUUUCUCUAUCUCUUAGAUUACUAGGAAAUUGGAGUAAAUUAGAUGCGAAAUUGGAGAAAUUUCCACGAAUCUCGGCUAGAUCGUUGCGGAUCCCGAGAAGACCUAGCUGAGUUGGUGAAUUAUCAGAGGAGAGUCGGCGUUCGUUUACAGGUGGAGAAGGAGGCGGUGCCAGGAAAGCUGCGACGCCACGGAGUAAGGAAGAUAAAUCUUCUUUGACACCGCCAUGAGUUGUGGAAGGAUCGGGAUCGGGAUCGUGAUCGUCAUCGCCGCGAGAUUUGAAGAGCCAAGACAUGGUUUUUGAGUGAGAGAGGUUGGAUUUGGGGUUUUCAGUUUUUUUUGCACGGGGUUACGAAUAGCAAGAGAGAAGAAACGGUACGUUUUAAUACCUUUCCAAAACGCACCGUUUGUUGUUUGUUCGUUUUGAUACCUUCCCAAACGUGAAAUAAACGAACAAUAAUUAUACAAAAUAAACGGAAACAAAACCUACUUUUUAAAACGGGAAAAUAUCGUUUUAUACGUGAUGUUUUUAAGAAUGGUCAUUUUAUAUGUAAACUUUUAGAUCGAUCAAAUAAAAUAUGAUAAAAAUGUUGAUCCGCUAUUUAAACAAAACAUAAAGUUUGCCUGGCCAAAAUUUCCGAAAUGUUAACUUGUAUUAACGGAUCUGAUAACCCUCGUUAGCAGACGUUAGUCGUCUUCCGUUAAUACCAAACGAUUUUUUGUGAUGAGUACAAACCUUAAAAUUCCCAAAUCGAUUUUUCAUUCCCUAAUUCUUCAUAAUCCCCAAAAUUUGAACUAUUCUCGAUAUAUUUUUUUUGAGCUCAAAAUCUCCAUUUUGUGUAGAUAUGAGUUUAAAAAAUUUGAGUGUUCAAGAAGGAGGAAGUGGGAACCUUGGGUUUCCUUCAAAGUGUCAUUGGGGGAGAGAUUUCAUCAUCUAUAUAUCAAGCUCGACGAAGAACCCAAGAAGAUCCUUCUUCUGUUGUCCAACAUAUCAAGAUGUAAGUAGAUUUGAAUUUGUUUUUUUUGGUGUUUGAUCGGUAAAAAGUUGUCGUUGUAAAUGCAGGACCAUUUGUUUAAGUGAGUCGAAGAUUGUGUGUAUGAAGAGGUUGUAGAUGCAAUACUGAUAAUCUCUAUGAUUGAUAGCUAGAUAAACAAUGUCAAAUUUCAGGUUGUAGUCGAGAUUGCAGAAUUAAAGGUUUUGAUCCAAGAAUUGAAGGAAGAUGAAAUGUGGAGCAAAAUGGAAUUGAAGAUAUGGAAAUCGAUGACCAAAUUGUGCUUGGUGUGCCUUUGUAUAACAGUCAUUGCAAUUAUGAUCAUAAUGUUCUAUAAGACCAAAAACCAUAAGCUUGUUCUUGGUUACUAGUGUUUUGUGUUUGUAAUAAAAUGUUUUUAUGGUACUGAAAUGUUUGUUUGGCAAUGAUAAUCAGUCCUAGUGUUUUGUCUUAGUGUUGUGAUUGUAAUGAAAUGCUACUAGAUGCUUGUUUAACAAUGAGAAUCACCAAAAUGAAACUCAUUCAUACAUUAUAAAACUUGUGUCACAAAGACAAGUCGAAACCACAAAAUGAAAUCGAUACUAAGCUUAUGUCAUAAAGACAAAUCCAUUAUGUCAACCACCAAAAAUAAACUUAUGAGAAAGCUUAAGUUCAAACAACAACAAAAAGAAACUUGUGACUAAUCUUGUCUUGAACACUCAAACCAUGAUGCAAAUCCACCAAGUCCUUGUGGUUGAGCAUGUGGCUCAGUUUGUGCUUGUGCUUGUGGUUCUGUUUGGGAUUGUACUUGUGAUGCUCCACCUGUCUCCCUUGGUCUUUCUGAUGUUCCGCCUGUUGCCCUUGGUCCUUGUGAUCGAAUAUGAGAUUGUGAUCCUUGAUGAGGUUGUGAUCCGUGUAUUUGCUCUUGCGAUUCGAGCACUUGAGAUCGUGAUCCUUAAUGAGAUUGUGAACUUUGAUGAGGUUGUGAUCUUAGCACUUGUGAUUCCUCCUAAGUUAAAUAUGACAGUCUGAACAGUUGCAUGAUUAAGUGAGUUGUAAAACAUAUAAAAAAAAACAAGAAUACAAACCUGAUUUAUUCGUGGAUGACCUCUUGGUCUCUUUGGUGGAAUCAGAAUAGUGGCAUUUUUGCAGCUUUGCUUGUUUGCCCUUGUUGAAGGCAGUUAGAGCAUGUCAUGAUUCUCUUUUGCAGUGGCAUCUUGUUCUUAUUUGAAGAAGAAGAAGUCUCAUUUCUUCCUUUUCUCCUAACAUAAUUACUCGGUCUUCCAACAUUUCCUUUUGUCCAUGGUGGUGGCAAAACAGGGAGCCUAUUGGUUUUAGGCCACAAUGGCAUACCUUGGACAAGGCUAAUACCAUCUUUAUAAGUUUUUCGCCAGAUUACCUUUGUGUAAAACUUGCUCACAUAGUCUGCAACUGUUUCUCUUCUUCCUAUUAUCACAGGUGUCGCAUAAAUACAUGGGAUCCCCACCAUCUACCACUUCCUGCGACCACAAGUUCUCUUCUCCGUAUCAACAUAGUAGCUAACACCAUUCACAUCAAUUUGAUACAAAUUGUUUCUGGACAUAUAUCUCUCGCAAUUUCUAACCCCAACUAUCAUUUUCUCAAUCUCAAGAUGGGCUCUCUUUGUGAACCUUGUCUUCAAUUUGUCAGCAAUGAUAUACGUCUUCGUAGUUAUGACCAUGCAUUACCUCUGGAUGUACUCUAGCUAAUCCAACAAAGGCUUUCUCCUAGCCUGUUUAAUAGUCUUAUUAAAAGACUCACACUGAUUAUUGAGGCUGUCAUUGCAACGUGUCCAAUUCUAAAGAAGGCUCUCGACCAUGUCAUUGGACUAGUAAGUUGCGAGUGGCAUGCGCAUGAGGAUUGUAUCUCUUUAGCUCUUCCAUAUUAUUCAUGAACACUUCUUCAGUGUAGCUUCAAAUUGUUUUUCAAAGAGACAUUGUAGUUCUAUCUCAUGGUUGUCUCUCUUCCAAUUGUCCAUUAUAUGCCUUGAAUAUUGUCGAUGCUCAACUUCUGGAAGUAUGGUAUUGAUAGCUUUGACUAGACCCUGUAAAAUAACACAAAAACAUAAGCGUAAACCCUUCAUAAAAGACAUUAAACUGAAGCAAAAGAUGAUAAAAUUAACUGAUUAUUUAUCUGAAAUGAUAACUAGAUGUUGCAUUUCACAGUCCCAAACUAGUAGAGAGCUGUCUCAAAAACCAGUCCCAAUUAUCAUUGUUUUCUAUCUCAACAACUGCCCAAGCUAUAGGAACAAUCCUCUUAUCUCCAUCUCUUCCAACUACAGCUAAAAGGUGACCUUUUACAUCCCAUUUUAGAAAACCCAUCUAUUCCUAUCACAGGUCUACAAGUUCGCUUCCAAGAAUCCUUUUGAGAUUUAAAGCAGAUAUAGCACCAGAGAAAAGAAUCCUUUUGUGAUAUAAAGCAGCUAUAGCAUCAGAGAAACCUUUGCUUGCUUCCAAUAAAAAGCCCUACUGUUGUCUCUAUCUCAAACUCUGUCUCUGGGUUCUACUUUAAAACCUCCGCUUGAUAAUCUCAUAUUCUUGAAAAGUGAUCAUUAUGAGUAGCAUGUCAUGCUUUCAACACUUUGGUCUUGGCCUUUGCACAUUGGUCUGGAGUCACAUCCAAAUUGAAUUCUCUCUGAAUCUCAACAACCAUCUCGUUCUUUGAAAUAUUUGGAUUCACUCUCAGCCUUUCAUCAAACAAAAGUGCAAUGGAAGACCGCUUCAACAUCUUUGAAUAUCCUGACCUAACACAAGUAUGCAUAUAAAAUCUUACUUGCAUCUUAUGUUUUGUCUUCUCAUACGAACAAUAUACUUUCCAACCACAUUUAACACCAUCAACACCAAUUUAUGACCACUUCGCAGCAACAACCAUAGAUUCAGACCCAUAAAGAGAAAUGGUAUACCAUGUCUUUAAAGAGUACAUCAAAAGAACACGCUUGAAGUCGUGUUUAUAUCCUCUUCACCGCGUAAACCACCAUUAUAAUCGUUAUCUCCACCACCAACCACAUCAUCAACGACAUUGCAGUCUUCAUCACCAUACACGGCGCAGUCUUCUUCAUUUUUCAGGGUCAGGCUCAAAUGUAGGUUCUUCAUCCUCCUCUUUUUAAUGUCUGACUCUUCUUCGUUUUUGUUUUCAAAGCCGCUUUGAAACUCGAGCUUUAACUACGAUAGAAGACUCUACUACGCCUACAGCCGGCAGAGCUAGAACUCCGUUAUCAAACUCUAAAACUGCUUCCGCUGGUGGAGCUCGAACAACAUCUUUGGUGUCAUCUUCGCCUCGUGGUGGAGCUUCAUCAUUGUCUAAUUUGCCUUCCAUUGAUACAAUCUAGGACUCCAAGGAUACAAAUUCAAGAUGAAAUCAAAUCAAAAUCGCGAUUUCGCCAAAGUAAGAAUUAGGGAUUUGGUUUUUGGAAAUUAGGGAUUUUGAAAUCAAAAUGGGAAUUUCUGUUUCAGUUUAUGAAACGACAUUGUUUUAGGCAUUAACAGAAAAAAUUAACGUCUGCUUACAGGGGUUAUCGGAUCUGUUAAUGCAAGUUAACGUCUCGGGGAUUUUGGUCAGGUCAACUUUAUGUUUUGUGUUAAAUGGCGGGUCAACGUCUUUAUCAUGUUUUAUUUGGCCGACCUAAAAGUUCACGUAUAAAAUGGCCACUUUUGAAAGUUCACGUAUAAAACGACAUUUUUCCCUUUUCAAAAACCUAAUUUAUUUCGCAUAAUUAUUGUUCGUUUUGAAAAGUAGGUUUUGAUUUAAUAUUAAAUUUAUUCGGGGAAAAAGAAUUAUACAUUUACAAGUAGGAAAAAUGGGUAAAAAAAACCUCACCUUUCCCAAAUACAUUUAAAAAAACCUCAACUUUUUGUAGGUUUUUAAACCCUCACCUUUUCAAAAAUGGUAAAAUAACAAUUAGCAUUAUUAAACCAAAUAAAUACAAAUUAAAUACUAAAUAAACUAUUAUAUUAAGACAUAAAAAACAACAUAAUUUAUAAUCUAUCUUUUCCAAAUUUGAGUUUAGGAUUUUUUUUCUUCUAGAAUUUAGUUGUUUUUUGUGAUAUAAAAAAUAAGUUUCAUUGCCAUUAGAAAUUGGUAUGUAAACUAAAACAAUUUAUAACAUAGCACAUUUUAUUUUAUUUGUGUUCAACUAUGUUCUAACCUUUGAAGUUUUGGAUUUAAAAUGGAUAAAAUUUAUUAACACAAAUUUGAUCUAAACUUGAGUGACCUAAUAUUUGUUCUAAACUUGUGUGAUCAAAACUUUAUUCUAAACUUAAGUGUCCAAACCAAAUAAAAUUUUAUUAAAUAUAUUUUAUAUUUAGUUAUUACAAAAUUAGUUUAGUUUUACGUUGAUGAAUUUCUUGAACUCAACCAAAUUAAUCUUGUUUCAGUUCACUGCAUAUGUAGAAGAAUAUAUAUCUAUAUAUAUAUACAUAUAUCAUACCUAAAAUAAAAUAAUUAUUUUUAUCCAAAAUUUAAUUAAACUUACACUCGAAACAAAAUAAAUAAACUUUGAAUAGACUUUGGAUAUGUUAUCUUCAGUAUGAAACCAAUUGUCUGAACCAAAUUUAAAUUGUUUUCACAUAAAACAUUUUACUAGAAGAAAAUAUUUAAGAGCUAUGUCUUUGGUUAGAUUAGAAUCGACAUAUUUCGUUUUCAAGAUUGUUUAGUGGUAGUUUGUUGUUUUGCGUCAAGUUUUUUUUAAUGUUUUCUUUUCCUAUUUUUGUCGGGUUCAUCUCUUGCUUUUGGACCGGUCAAUCUAUAACUUUUCACCUUUAUAAUAAUAGGUAAAGCGGUUGUGUGACUCUUUCAUUUUCCUCUACUCAAGUUUAAGACUAAAUCUGGUCAAAUUUUUAUUAGACUAGUUAUGAUGGUUUGUUAUAAACCAUUUCACAACUGUUGAAAAAAUUAUUUCCACUACAAUGGUUUAUUGUAAUCGAAAAGUAAGUGAGAUGGCAAAUUUAUCAACACUCAUGAGAGUAGAAGAAAGAAGAUAAGUGUGACAAGUGUUAUAUUUUGAUUGGUUGCUUUUUUUUUUUGGACAAAAGCUUGUUUUUAUUCAAUUAAGAGAGAAACAAGUACAAAGGAACAAGGAUUCUAAGAUCCCAAAGUUUAAAGGACAACAAAGGUAGGCAUUCCCAACACCAUAAGAAGAAAAGCUAACACACAAAUAAGGUACAUCAACAAUGGUUCCAUGAGAGCUAUAAUCCAAACACUUGAAGGGAAUUUGUUACUUUUAAGAUCAAGGAUUGUUGACAAAUCUUCCACGAACAAAGUAGUGGAUGAGAGUAUGGUUACUGUCAAAAGACUUAGUAACGUUAACAAGGGCGCCAAAGACAUGAAUCUCGUCGGGACGAGAAGUACUACACCAAGUAGUGCUUUUGCAAAGGUUCGAACAAGGUUUUGGUAAAGGAAGGAGGAUCGUCGAGGCUUAGAAAGAUUGAUGCGAGACCGUAACAGAACAGGUGGGUCCUCUCUCCCAAGAAGACCAAGGAGAUUAAGGAAUUCCACACAAAGCUUGUAGUCGGUUUGCCACAUGAAGAAAAGGCCAGACAUGAGGAAAUUGAGUAGAUAUCACUUUGAGGCACUAGUCAAUAGGGAGGGAUCUCUCACAAGAGAAUUGAGAAGUUCAUGUUGAAGCUUGAUCCAAACCCGGGGAGUAAUGGUGAAUGGGAGGUUCUUGAAGUUGGUCGAUAUAGUUGUCAGUAUGAAAUACUUUGAUAGAGAGUUUUGGUGACUAGCGUCACAUCUCCGACAGAUUGGACUAAGAAACACUAGACCAUGAAUCUUCAAAACGGAAUCAUAAAACAUUGCCCUAGCUAAACCUAGCACCAAGGUUCUCAGAUAAUAUUUGUAGGAGCAUAUCAACGAGGGUGAUUCGUCAUUCAAGUGGUGUCCCUAACCCCUCAAAAUAAAGAAACGAUGUCUACAUUGGGAUAGACUCGGCAAAUUGCAGAUGGAGGAAUACCUGGAUUUUUGUGAUAAUAGGUUUGGGUCGCAAUUUAUGGGCUUGGGCCGCGAGGGAAAUGGGCCAACAUUGGAGACAGGGCCCAUCAAAGAAAACCCUCGAUUCCAGAUUGUUGGGCAAGGAGCGUUGGGAGUGCGGCGGCUACGGUAGAGAGGUACGAAUUGCACAAUUGAAGCAGACGUCUCUGAUGUAAAUAGAGUUAGGGUGAACAAGCUGCAUGACGGGUCCGGCGCUGAGGCUAUAACAACGGCUAAUGGUUUGGCAAAAGAACGUCGGAGAAGCCUUAGGGAGCCGAAAGGUCCCGCAGAUCUAGUAACGAUGAGGAGGCGGAGACAAGGCUCAGGUUGGAAGGAUUGGUCGCCUAUGAAAUUGAAAGCUUCACAAACUGUUUUCUUUGAUUCGCAAGGUUUGGACAGAGAGUGUAGCUUGCUCGGAGGCCACAUUUUGCCUAUGUCGGAGAAUACUGCUUCAAAGAAGAUUCAACAGCAAAGAAGAACUCGAUAGAUUUGGAUUAAAAGGUUUGCAACAGAAGAAAACUAAAUUACAACGAAGAAGUAGAUGAAAGAUUGAGGAAAUAGCUCGAGAGAUGAGAGGGAGGUUCCGAUGCCGGCGAGCAUUUGCUCCACCGACGUCGGAAAGAUGAAGGGAGAUAGUUUCCUCGAUAUUAGUGUCUAUUAGCUCCACCGACGUUGAAAAGAUGAAGGGAGAUAGUUUCCUCGAUAUUAGUGUCUGGGAGAGAAACUCUUUAAAAUCUUAGUCUCGCAAAAAAUUUGAUUGGUUGCUUUGAUUUCUAUAUUUUUUUUCUUAAUUACAUAACUUUAAUUAUUUCAUAAUAUUUAUAAAUAAACAUAUCAAAAUUUACAAUUUUUCAUUCUCUAUAAAUAAACACUAUCUUCAUUUGAUUUGGACAAAACAAAAAUAAUCUUUCUUUAGAAAAAAAAAAGUUUAGUCUCCAAUAAACUUUUGUUUUAGCUUUAAAUAUACUUUUAUCUAAAUGGAUCCAAACAAUAACCUUUCAACACCCAAAACUUUUCUAAUUACUUUUAAACUAUCCAAAUCCCAACAAUUAUUAGUUGCAGGUGUGUCAGAAGGACAUUGAACGAGCAUUUGGAGUGUUGCAGGCUCUAUUUAAAAUUAUUCGCGAACCAGCUCGACUGUGGGACAUAGCCGAUUUGACUAUCAUCAUGAGGUCGUGUAUCAUAUUGCAUAAUAUGAUUGUUGAUGAUGAACGACAGACGUAUACUCAACAUUGGACUGAUUAUGAUCAAUCUAAGGCAAGUGGGCCGAGUACAUAACAACCAUUCUCGACCAAAGUGCUACUUGUAUUUGCAAAUCAUCUGCGUGGUAGAUCCAAGUUGCGUGAUUCAAAUGUACACCGCAAAUUGCAAGCAAAUCUAGUCAAACAUAUAUGGGCACAAUUUGGAAUUUUCCAUGGUGAAUGAGAUUUUUAAGUUUGUGAGUUGAGAUUAAUAUACUAAUUAAGUUACAAAUGUUUCCUUACUUGUUGUGUGCGUAUUGUAUUGCAUUUUAAAUCUAUGUUCAUUGUAUGUGUUUUAGUAAUGAUUAUUUUUAUUUCUAGUUUUUAUUAUUUAUAAAGUUUUUUUAAAAAAUAUAUACAAAUAUUAAAACAAAAACUAUUUUAUAAAAUUUAUUUAAUAUUUAAUUAUUUAAAUUUAAUUUAAUAUUAACGGUGAUUAAUAAUAUUUAAUCACAAAAAACAUAAACAUAAAUAAAAUGAAAAAUAUAAAAUAAAAAUUGUGGGAUAAGGUGUUGUAAUUUUAUCAAACAAAACUAUUGUAGAGGGAAAAAAUUAUGUAGGUGUGGAAUAACGAUGUGGAAGAGAGAGAAAACGAUGUGAAGUGUUAAAAGGGAAAAAAAGGGUGUUGUAAAUGGGUAACCAUUGUAGAUAGUCUUAGGAAGUGAAUGGUGACUUUAAGAUUUGCAGAUUUCGAAAGAAAAAGAAAAAAAUGCACUAAUGUCACCAAUCAGACAUAUGUGUGUAAUUUGUUUUUUUUUACAGAUAAUUUGGCACACACAUUUCAAAGCAUGUUAAUACACUAGGGAUAAAAGAAACACACUCUACUAUCGUCCAAGGGAUAUUUGGCAGCGCUUAACUAAAAACUUGCAUUACACAGUAAGUAAUAAAUCAAUUAUUUAAUUAAUAAUAAAAUGUACCUAUAAAUCAGAUCAUGUACUCUAAAACUAUUCACACAUUACAACCAAAAACAACAUCCUCUCAUAUUUCGCUCCAAUCCAAAAGAAAAAAAAAACAAUCUCCCACCCUUUCGUCAUAUAUUACAACAUUUAAAUGUAAAUUACUUUUACUAUACUAGUAUAAUAAUUACUUAUAACAAAAUAUUUCUAUGUAAUUAAGGUCUCUUUAUAAAUAAAUAGGACUGAAAUUAAGUAUAUAAAAUUGUUCAAAAUUUAGUAAAUCAUAAAAUGUUAUAUUUAUGUACAUAUUUAUAUGACUAUGUUUUAUUUUUAUAUUCAUAACAUCAGUAUUAAAUUUUAAUCAAAUCAUAGAAAUUUUUAAAUAUGUAUAAUAAAUGGUUGUGAUAGUAUUUACUAAUCAAGAUGUAUAUAUAUUUAUUAAAAAGAGAAAGGAAAAUUUUGAAGAUAUACAAAAUUACUAUUUUUUUAAAUUAUAGUUUAGUAUAUUUAUAUUAGAUGGUAAUAUGAUAUUAUGAAUUUUUUCAAAACUUAAUUAAAUCAAUUAAUUUAAUCAUAUCAAAAGUUACUUAAAUCAAUUCAUUUCCAUCAUUAUUAAAUUUUAAACAAAUCAUAGAAAAUUAAAAUAUGAAAAGAAAUGGUUGUGAUAGUACAAUAAAGUGAUUCCGAGUUCCCUUUGCCUCCGUCGGAGAAGUAUUAUCUAGUUGAUUAUGACUACCCAAACAAAUAAGGAUUUCUAGUUCCUUAUAGAUCGUCAGGAAAUCGAGUUGUGAGAUAUCAUAUGUCUCAAUUUUAUUUUGGUCCUCCUCCUAGAAACAAACAUGAACUAUUUAAUAUGUCAUGCAUCUUUACGUUCUGUUAUCGAGAGAACUUUUAGAGUUUCGGAAAAGAAAUGGAGGAAUCUUUUUCAUUUUCCUAGAUAUAAUAUUCAUAUUCAAAAAAGAGUGGUAAUGGUUAUAGUGUGAUUACAUAAUUUUAUCAGAAUUUCAAACUUCUCAGAUGUAGAUUUUCUUGAUGUAAUGACAGAGACAAAUAUAAACUACAGAGAUUAUGAUCAUCAUUUAGAUGACAUAGAAGCAACAGAGAUAACAAAUGGAGAACAUAUGAUGCCAAUAAAAGACAAUAUUGCAAAUAUGUUAUGGCAAAAUCAAAAUAAUAUAAAAUAUUUUUUAAUGUUUUUUAUGAUGAAAUUAGUUAAGGCAUGUAACAAUAUGUAUGUUACAAAAUUAAAUUUAUAUUUUGAUCAAUUUUUGUAUUAGUGGUUUAUAAAUAUCUGUUAUUGUUUAUUUAUUAACACAAAAAAUUAAUUAAUUAUUAAUAUAUAUAUAUAUAUAUAUAUAAUUUAUAAUUCGCACCGCAUGUAGUUUUUUCACCAAUCAAACAUUAUUUUGUACCGCUUAUUUUGAAUAAACCGUACUUAUCCCGCAAAUAUAUUUCUCCUACACGAACCGCAGUUUAACCGUACUACACUUCAAUAACGCUUUCCCCGCACUAUAAAAACCACGGUUACCAUUCGGACCCUUAGAGCUUGUUUAAAAAAUUGCUAGGCGUUAACCGGGCAUUCGGGGACUUAUCGAUAUUAGUUUUUAACAUUUUAAUAUUGAUAUAUACAUAUAAAUUAAAUAUCGGAAUAUAUGACAAUGGAAUUAAUUUGGUUGAGUGUCAUCUUUUUUUAUUUGGAAAUUGCACAAUCUAUACUCUGAGGAGUCGUUAUUUAGGUUCCCAAAAAAGCAACUGUUUGGCUGGUACUGUGGAUGUGGAAAUUGCGCAUGUAUGAAAAUAUAUUGUGUGAGACGGCUUCAUUAAAAUCUUAUUAGAUUAUUAUUGUUCUUCGCAUGUGGUUUUUGUUUUCUAUAUGUUUUUUAUUUAUUGAUUUAUGGGGAAACCAAUCAUCAUCAUCAUUUCCCUUCCAAUACGGAGAGCUUGGCAAUGCGAAAGAUUUGGAUGGCAAAUGUUUGGUAUAAAUUUUUCGACCCGUUAAUAUUAUAAUCUUGAUAUUAUUUUUGUUAACGUCAUUAAUCUUUUGCAGACGUAUGUGGAGCCUAUCAUUUUCCCUGACGUGGAGAUGAACCCGAAAGAAGAUUUAACCUGGUCUGACGAUGAGGAAGAUGUGAUGGGUUGAUAAUAUCGUCAUGUUAGUUGGUAAAGGGAUUACUUUUCAGCUCCCUCCAUUCUGAUUUGCCAACUCCUACAAAUGCUAAGGUUAGUUAACUGAUAUUUAUUUUAUAAUCGUUGUGUUUAGUAGUUUAGCAACUAAGUAUUAUAUGUGAGUAGCUAUAUUUUUUCUUUAUUUUUGUAGCUUUUUUGCCUCUGUUUCAGAGUUUUCAAUUAUCUCCAAGAUGUUGCAGGUAAACAAAUCUGUUGAGGUCCUUGAUCAUCGAGAUGAAGAACCGGUUUAUUUAUUUACACUCCAUUUUUGUUUAACUUUACUGUACAUUUUUGUUAACCCCCUCCAUAUUUUAUUAGCCGGUAAGAUUGUUAUCAUUCAUUUUCUUUUUAAUUAUUUUAUUCUGUCUUGCAGACCAAAAUCAAUCCUUCAAAAUUAACCACUACAGUCGAGGAAGAAAAGGAUUCUAAGGAGGUUAGAUAAUUCUUCCUUGUUUUUAACUUUCAUUUGGUUAAAUCCUUAACCGGUGAUAUAUUGCAUGUUUCAAUUUUAGGAUUUUACCACUCCACCCCUGUCAACCCAGUCUCGCUCUAACGUGAAGGUUAUCUUCUAACUAUGAUGUUAUCGCUUAUUGUUUAUAUUCAUCUUCCACGUUUGUAGGAUGUGGUGUGCCCUGCAAGUGUGUAUGCGGAUUAGCUGUUAAAAAAAAUAUUUCCAAGACGCAAGAAAAUUCGGGCUGCCCCUUCUUCCGCUGUGUAAGCAAAAGAGACGUGAGUUAUUUCCUCUCUAAAAACGAUGUUAUUAGCUUUUCUGGUAGCUACACGUUUUGCUAGUUAACCUAUCAUUCUUUUUGUAGGGACAUUUGUUUAAGUGGGUUGAGGAUGUUGUAUAUGAAGAAGUGGAAGAUGCAUUGGUUAGACUUGUAUCGAUUUAAAAUGAGGUAAAUGAUUAAAAGCGCAGGUCAUCCAGUUUUGUGUUGCUAUAAAAGAGUUGAAGGCAGAUUCAGUGUCCGACCAGUUGGUGAUGCUUAUGUUGAAAGUGGGCUUGCUUUUCAGAUUUGUCUUCUCUCUUUUUGUAGCUUUUGUUAUCGCAACACUUCUUAAAAUAGUCGAUAUUAAGUUCAUUAGUAGUUUUUAAUGUCUAUCUUUGUAAUGUUUCAUAGUUUCUAUAAUUCCCUAUGUUUAAGAUAUUAUAUUUGUUAGUCGUUAACCAUGUAAUAUAUACCUUGUAUCAAUCUUCUGUCUAUAUAAUAUUUUAUAACUUCUCAUUUAUUUCUUUAUUUUUGUACCAUUUGCACAUUCUUUAGGCGAUAUUUAUAACCAUUUUAAAACUUAUCUUUUAUUUUAAUUUUUUGGUAGCAUUUUCACAUUUAUUAAGCGAUAAUCUAAUUCUUAGCCAUCCAGCUGUGGUCCUAUCUUCUUAUUUUAGGACGCUAGUUAUCUUUUUUCUUAGUAUUGCAAAUUUUAAGAAGAGGGUCUAUAUCUUGGUACAUAUUUUGUUACAGAAUAUCAUUCAACAUAAACAUAUAUUUAACAUUCAGAAGGAAGGUUUGUUGGGAUCGUCCCUGAUUGCAGAUAAUACACAUUUUUUGGAUCAGUAAUUGUACGUAUAUACAUUGAAAAUUUUCUGAUCUCCGAAUUCUUGUUAUUUAUAAAACAUGACUUCUCGCGAGUCUUCUAAGCACGGAACCAUCCGUUCAAACCCUCCCAUAGUCCAAAAAAACAGUCCUCUCCUUCCAUCUUCAUCCGCAAAAAAAAAAUUUUCCUCGUCGCUUACUUGCCUCCAUGUACCACAUUAAUUUUUUGAUUAGCAGUCAUUUUUCUUUUUAAUCAGAUAACACCUACUUUAUCGACACUAGUUUCUUCAUACACCAUGGUAAAAGUUUUGUUAUCGGCUGCUUUUUCAAAAAAUGAUAAGGAGCUAUAUAUAUAGAUAGCAAACCAAAGAAAGUUGCCCUAACUACACACCUGAGACUUAAAUGCUCUAUGUUUCUAUCUUCUUUCAAUAUUUAUCGUUUGCAGUGGUUUAUAUGUUAGUUGUUUCAGUUCUUGUUGUUGCAGUAAUGUCGAUAUGGAGAUAAUAAAUAGGCAAACAUCUAUCUUCCAUAUCUGCACAAUCGAUUAUGUAUCAUAUGUAAUCAUUACUUUUUACAUUUUUUUAUUAGUUUGACCAGGGGGCGCAAUAUCUUCGAAGAUUACAGAGCAUUUAAUGCUCGUGAUCUUGCGGAAGGAGACUAGUGAUCCUCUGCUUGUAUAGGAACAAUUAUGUCAUAUUUAAUUUGCAAGAAAAUUUUCACCUAAAUAACGAAAUGAUAUGUAUAGAUCCUUAAUUAUUUUCUCCUGUAGGUAUAUAUAUUUCAUUCACUCUUUUUAGUUUAAUGAAAUAGUAAAUGACAAUAUUAUCCUCAUCUUAUUCUUUAGAUCUUAGCGACUGCAACCCUAAUUUUUGUCGUAUCGUUUUUCACAAUUCUUAUCAUUUUUUCUUACCCUUUAAUGAUUUAUACCCAAAUAUAAUAGAUCUACAACCUAAAGACCGAUUUAAAACUUGUAUUUCUUUUUAAAAAAUGAGUUUUUCUAAGAGUUUUCAAUUUUUUUUGGCGAUUUCAACAAAUCGAGGCGGUGGUGGUCUGAAGAGCGCUUAGUUGGACGAGUAAUCGGUUAGACGACCAAUUUUUAGAACAAGGGUCUUGACAAUCCACAAUGCAAGUGUUGAAUUAUUUAUUCAAUUGUUGAACCUUCACAUUGCACAUGUUGAAUAGUUUAAAAAAUCUUACGUGGAUUCAACUUGGUUGAAAGUAUUCAAUAUGUUAUAAAGAAAAAAUUUGGGCCCGCGCAUGCCACAUGUCAAUAAAUGAGUAAAGGAUGUGUUUCAAACUCGGAGAAAGGAGAGCGUAUUGUCCAAACCUUUUUCUUUUUACUUUUAUUUUUUUUUGCAAAAAGAAGAGAUUAUUGAGAUGCUCACACUUGCUAUAUUUUCAUUAGAUAUUAAGAUUUUGGAGAUUUUAUUUCUAUCUUAUUUAUUUACAAUCAAUUAUUACAUACCAAACAAUUUUUUUUUAAAAACUUAUAUUUAUAUGAAAAUUUAUAAAUUUUUAAACUCUAGAAAUAGAGACUUAGUUCAUUUUAUUUGGACACAUAAAAAAUAUUAUUUCUACCAUAAUUUUCUUAUUCUUCUCCCAUAAACUCUUGGUUAUAUCCUUUUUUUUUAUGGAUUCUAAUAAAAUCCCUAUGCAAAAUUAUACUAAUUUUUCCUUUCCCUAUCCUAAUUCCAACAAUAAUCCUACGCAAAAUUCGACUAAUUACGUUUUUCCUUAUCAAAAUCCCAACAAUUAUCAAUUUCAAAAUCUAUCUUUCAACCAACCUCAAAAUUUCCCAAAUUAUGAUUUUCUACCAAAUUUUUCUAUGCUCUCAUCUGUUCCAAACUAUAAUUCAUAUUAUAGAUCGAUUCCAAAUUCAUCUCAACCACCUCUUUAUGAUUUGAGGUUGUGAUUUUCAUUGACAUCAAAAAGAAAAAAAAAAAAAAUAUCACAGAAAGGAGACAAUGAAUAUGAUUAAUAUUUAAUUGGUAAACUAUUAGAUUAGGCGGGGGUUUUCUCAAAAAUUGUCUCUUUUGUAGGACUGUUGUCACCAAUAUUUUCAGUAUCUUUUACUUUUAUUAAUUUUUAAUAAAAUUUAUGAUAAUAAAAAAAAUGAAAAUAAUCGUAAAUAAAAGAAAAAAAGAGAGUUGUGGGUUCUUUCUUUUUAGUUACCCACGCAUCGCUGUCGAAAGAUUAAUUAUGAAAUCAGAUGUUUGGUUGAGUAUAAUAGUAAUGCAUGUCAUUAGUUUAAAUUUAUAAUAUUAAACAAAAUUAUAAAUAAGAUAUUUGAACAAAACAAAAUUAAGUUAGUUUAAACGUUAAUUGGAAACCAAAUAAGAGAUCUGUUAGGAAAAAAGAAAAUAUAUACCAAAUAAGAGAUACAGGAAAUCAGAAAUUUUAAUAUUAUGUGUUUGAAUCUUCUCACCAAAAAAAAUUAUGUGUUUGAAUCUUCUCACCAAAAAAAAUUAUGUGUUUGAAUCUAAUUGAUUAAUGGACACGGUCUAGUAAAUUAUAAUUUUUUUGACCCGCGAAAUAUAGUGAAACAGAGUUUAUCUCUAUACAACAAGACAAAAAAGAAGUUCUAAGAUCAAACUCUGUUUGAUAUACAAAAAUUAUAUUGUAAAUGAAAAUGGAACUUUGAGAUUGAUCUACAACAAGUCUGCUACACUCAUCACAAACGUAAUGUGAUUAUACACAUCCACGUUGGCCGCAAAAACUAAGGAUCUUGUAUCAUCUGGAUCAACAGACAAAAUCAUAUUGCAAUAGUCAGCAGCAUCACGUGCGAGACUAAGGUCGUCAUCAGUCUCAUCAACAUCACCAUUGCCCAUUGACCGCUGUGCCUUCAUUAGCCCCUCGACAACAGAAUCUUUAUAGUUCUCCAUACAACUCUUGAAACAUGGCUUCUUAGGAGAACCAAUGAGAAACUGUGUGUGCUCUGCCUUCUCCAUGGCUAGAGAAAGAGCCGCCUUAGCCAACUCUAAUACAGUCGAUGCGGAUUUCGUGCGAUGAUCUAACGUUAGGGAUUUGAUACAUUCUUCUUCUAGGGACGAGAAUGACGCGGUGCCUUUACAAGCCUUUGAUAUCAGUAAUGAUGGAUAUGGACAUGUCUUUGGUUUGGUUGAUAAAUGGGUAGCAAUGUUGGAUUUUGCAUUGGUAUAUGGCCACCGCGAGAGGAGAAGGAAGGUUAGGAUAUGGAUUGAUAGGUAUGCAUGAGAAGCAUAUAAACAAACCAUCGUUUUAUAUGUUCAACAAAGCUUGUUCUUUGACUAUAGGUUUAAAUGAAAUAGUAGAUUGAAGUUUGUACAUAUAUUAACUUUUGUUGUGUCAAUGGUUUAAAUUGUCCAUUGUUUAGUUCCACAAGUUUUAAACAUGAUAUGUUAUUUAUAGGUUUGGAAUGAACGAUAGAGGAAAAAUAAACUUGUCAACGCUAAUAAUAAAAGAGUGUAUCGAAAAAGAGAGAAAAAAACAAAAAUUCAUUGUGAUUCUUUUGUUAUUUUGUUUUUCAAUGAUUCAAUUCAAUGUCUUAAUUUCUCUCCUAACAUAAAAGUUAGUUAUGGGCAUUCGGUUAUCCAGUUUCGGUUCGUUUCCAUUCCGUUAUCGUUCUUUCGGUUCUAGAGUUUAGUAUCCAUUCAGUUAUUUUGAUAUUUCGGUUCGUUUCAGUUCUUACAGUUCUAAAAUUUAAUAUACAUUCGGUUAUUUUGCUUUGAGUAUUUUUGGAUAUUUCUGUUAUUUUUAUAUUUUUGAGUAUUUUUACUAUUUAUAUAUACUUUUUAGUAUUUUUAAUUAUUUAGUCUAGAAAUGACUAGUAUUUUUGAAAAUAUAAUUAUAUUUCGGAUACUUUUGGUUAUCCAAAAUAUUUCAGUUUGUAUCCACUCGAUUUCGGUUCUUUUGGUUAUAGAAUUUUAAUAUCCGUUAGGUUAUUUUCAAAUUUUCGGUUUUGCUCCGUUUUUUUACAUCGGUUGCGGUUCGGUACAUUAGGUUCGUUUUAUAUGCCCAAGCCUAAUAAAAAUCAUGUUCAUUUUGGUAUUUAUAGCUUUAGUAGACACAUGUUUAGUAAAACAAAUUCUCAAACAAGAAGAUUUAUGGAAUACCUUGUAAGACUACUUAGACUAGUUACAAUGGUUUGGUGGUGAAAAAAACAUUUCCACUACGAUGGUGUGCUGUAAUCAAAGCUAGGUGAUGUGGCAAAUUUAGUAUUGAUAAAUAUCAAUACCCGUGAAAGUAGAACAGAGAAGAUAAGUGUGACAAGUGUUAUAUUUUGAUUGGUUGCUUUGAUUUUUAUUUUUUUUGUUUCAUCUCAACUAUAUAACUUCAAUUAUUUUAUAAUAUUUGUACAUAAAAAUAUCAAAAUUUAUAUCAAAAUUUCUAAUUUUACAUUCUCUAUAAAUAGAGACUAUUUUCAUUUGAUUUGGAUACAGAAAAAAAAACUAUUUUUAGACCCAAAAAAGGUAUAAUCGCCAAAAAAAAAACUUUUGUUUUACCUUUAAAUAUCUUUUUAUCUAAGUGGAUCCAAACAAUAACCCUUUCAACACCCAAAACUCUUCUAAUUACCCUUUUAACUAUGCAAAUCCCAACAAUUAUCAGUUUCAAAAUCAAUCUCCUAACCAACCCCAACAAUUAUCAGUUUCAAAAUCAAUCUCCUAACCAACCCCAACAUAUAUCAAAUUAUGGUUAUCCACUAAAUUUCUUCAUGCCGUAAGCUGUUCCAAACUAUCGUCCAUUUCAUGGAUCGAUGAUGUCUUAUCCAUCUUAAACACCUCCUUAUUUUCCUACUCCAACAGGUAAUGAAACUGAUUCGAAUCUUGGAGCAACUGAUUUUCCCGAGUUUUCUACCCAAAUGGCUCUUGGUGGUAUUAGGGUAUUCAUGAAGCCAUUCCAGAUGCAAAGGAUUCAACUCCUUCUCGUCGGAGAAGUCCCAAAUGGACCACUGAUCAAAAUUUGGUUCUCCUGAGUGGGUGGAUUAAAUUUGGAAGAGACAGUAUUAUUGGCAAAAACUAAAAAUGUGAGUCAACUGGGGUAAAAUUGCUGAAUAUUGUAAUGAACAUUGCUCAUUUGAUCCUCCCCGUGAUGGAGAAGCAUUCAGAAAUCACUAUAAUUAUGUGAACAAAAGCGUGAACAAAUGGGCUGGCGCUUAUGAUAACGCUAAAUGUAUGCAACAAAGCGGGUGGUUGGAGGAUGAUGUAUUGGUAAAAGCGCAUGAAUUAUAUUCAAGUGCUGGUAAAAGAAGUUUCAAAUAGGAGGAAAUACUUAUUCUGGAAGCAGUGGAUCUAAAAGAGCCCACGAGAGUGAUGCUAGUGACUCAAACUCUGUAGGAUCUAGUGCUCGUCCAAUGGAAAGAGAUGCUGCUAAGAAAAAGCUAAAAAAAAAGGUAAAGGCGCAGCGUUGAAAGUGGUCAACGAAGAGUCGAACGAAUUUUAACAAUUCAAGGCACAAGAGUUGGAUAGGUUGGAGAAAAUAACUAUGAUGCACAGUGAAACAAACCAAUUGAUUAAGGAAAAGACUCAUGCUAAAAAGAUGAAGAUGUUUAUAGAGCUAACUGAAAAAGAGAAUCUCGAUGACAAGAGCAAAAAGCUAUUGCAACAAUUGAGCCACGAUCUAUUUGGAAAUUAAUUAUUGUCAAGUGGUUAUCUGUAUUUUGUCACUUCAUGCUUUAACGUGUGUUUGUCACUUUCUCCUUUAAUAAUUUGUAUUGUCAUGUUAUGCUUUAAUAAUGUGUGUUUGUCACUUUCUCCGUAAUUUGUAUUGUCUUCUAUGCUUUUUUUUUUUGUGCGAAAUAUUGUCUUAUAUGCUUUAUUAAUAUUAUCCAUGAUUUUAAAUAGAGAAUCUUAUCUUAUCCAUGACUUUUGGUUUGAAGCACUCAAUUCGAAUCCAAGGCACCAACAAUUUAAUUCGUUGUUUCCAUUUUUUUUAUAAAUUAGAACUCAUUCUUCCAUUGAUGUACAAACCAUAAAUCUUACCUUACUAAAAAUCUCAAUGGAUCCAUCAGAAUAUCCUUUUGACAUCAAAGCUUACAAGAGGCAGUCUGAAAUUGAAGAGAUGUAUAUCAUCAAUCGGUUUAGGGAGCGUCGAAACAAAAUAGGGGAAGACUAUCCACCUCGUAGCAAGAGAAAAUACUUUAAAAGAGACCAUGCAUCAGCAAAAUUAAAGAAUAUUGACGACUACUUUGCCAAUGAACCUAUAUAUGACGAUGCAAUGUUUCGUCGGUGAUUCCGGAUGAGAAAACAUAUUUUCUUUCGGAUCGUUGAAGACUUAUCAAACAGCGACAACUAUUUCACCCAACGAUAUGACGCAGCCAAGAAAGAAGGUAUAUCUCCAUUACCAAAAUAUACUACGACCAUGCGAAUGUUUGCAUAUGGUGUGGCAGCUGACGCGGUGGAUGAAUACAGUAAAAUUGGAGGUACUACUACUUUAGAGUGCUUGCGAAGAUUCUGUAAAGGAAUCAUAAAGCUGUAUGAGACAGAGUAUCUCAGAGCCCCAACUCAAGAUGACCUCCAAAGAAUUUUACGUGUUAGUGAGAUGCGAGGGUUUCCCGGGAUUAUUGGGAGUAUUAAUUGCAUGCAGUGGGAAUGGAAAACUUGUCCUACAGUGUGGGAAGGUCAAUUUACUCGAGGAGAUAAGGGAACCACCACUGUUAUUUCUGAAGCAGUUGCAUCUCAUGAUCUAUGGAUCUGGCAUGUUUUUUUGGAUGUCCGGGCACACUAAACGAUAUAAAUAUCCGUUCACCGGUGUUCGAUGAUGUUGAACAAGGAAAUACUACAAGAGUGAAUUUUUUUGUGAGCCAACAUCCGUAUAAUAUCGCUUACUAUCUAGCUGAUGGUAUUUAUCCUUCUUAUCCUACUUUCGUCAAAUCGAUUAGGCUACCUCAAAGUGAACCAGACAAGUUAUUUGUACAACGUCAAGAGGCGUGUCAUAAGGACAUCGAACGUGCAUUUGGAGUGCUGCAAGCUCGAUUUAAAAUCAUUCGUAAACCAGCUGGCCUGUGGGACAUAUUCGAGUUGGCUAUCAUCAUGAGAUCGUGUAUCAUAUUGCAUAAUAUGAUUGUUGAGGAUGAACGAGAGACAUAUGCUCAACACUGGACGGAUUAUGAUCAAUUUGAGGCAAGUGGGUCGAGUACACAACAACCAUUCUCGACCCAAGUGCUACUCCUAUUUGCAAAUCAUGUGCGUGAUAGAUCCAAAUUGCGUGAUUCAAAUGUACAUCACGAAUUGCAAGCAUAUCUAGUCAAACACAUAUGGGCACAAUUUAGAAUGUUCUUGUUGUCUGCUUAUUGUAUUUUUGUAUUUUAAAUUUGUGUUCAUUGUAUGUGUUUUAGUAAUAAUAAUUUUUUCUUCUCGUUUUAAUUAUUUGUAAAAGUUUUUAAAAAUAUUAUAUAAAAUAAAAACAAAUAUAAACACAACAAUACUUUAUAAAACUAUUUAAUGUUUAAUUCUUUUAAAUUUAAUUUGAUAUUAACGAUGGUUAAUAAUAUGUAAUCACAAAAAACAUAAACAUAAAUAAAAUGAAAAAUAUGGAAUAAAAAUGGUGGGGUAAGAUGUUGUAAUUUUACUAAACAAAAACUAUUGUAAAGAUAAAAAUUGGGUAGGUGUUGAAUAAUGAUGUGGAAGAAAGAGAAGAUGAUGUGGAGUGUUAAAAGUAAAAAAGUGGGUGUUGUAAAUGAGUAACCAUUGUGGAUAGUCUAAGGAUAAAAAUUGUAUAGGUGUUGAAUAAUGAUGUGGAAGAAAGAGGAGAUGAUGUGGAGUGUUAAAAGUAAAAAAGUGGGUGUUGUAAAUUAGUAACCAUUGUGGAUAGUCUUACAAUGGACACGUUGAAAAAAAUAUUUGAAUAUGGUGCAAUGGUUGUUUUAAUAAAUGUUGUAGAGGAUGUGGCAAAUUUGGUGAGUAGGGAAAAAUAUCGUUUAAUAUUCCAACUUUCAAAUUAUGGCCAUUUUAUACCUCAACUUUAUAUGUGACCAUUUUAAAUAUGAAGAUAUCGUUGACCAACCGUUUAAACCAUAAACAUUAGUUGACCAGGCUAAAAAAACUAACCGUUAUCACUCGUUAACAGAUUAUCUAACGUCCGUUAACAUCUCCAUUAGCUACCCCUAAACGACGUCGUUUUCAUAUUUUAAAAAUAAAUAACGAACGUAGGAUUCAAACUUGUAACCUAGAGAAAAACUAGAGACUUACUUAACACCCUCACCAACAGUAUUUUAUUGGUGAACUUUGAGAAACAUAUAUUUAUUAAAGUUUUCUCCUUCAACUUUAACCUACAAAACAAAACCAUCUCCAUAGCCGCCGCCUCCAAAUCCGUGUUCUCUCUCCAUUGAUUUUUUUAAUCUUAAUCAUAUAUUGUUUUUUGUUGAUUGAAAAAAAUUUGUAUUUGCUAAUUCAAUUCAUCUGGAACCUAUUUCUAUGAACACCAUUGAUGGAUUAGUCAAUUGAUAUGAAAUCAGUUACACAAACAGCACUAGUUCUUCGUCGUCUCACAUGCACCUUCGUUGUCUCACGUACACCUUGUGUAUAUGAUCUGUGAUUGCUCUUAAGCGGAUCUGAUGUAUUUAACGGCAUAAUAUAUAAUUAUGUGUUUCCGAAUAAUAAUUAUUAAACACUUUAUCUUAGUUGGUGUGGACAAGCAUAGGGAGCACUCGAAAGUUACGGGUUCGAAUCUUGAGUAAGUUAUUUCUUUUUAAAAUAUAAAAAUGACGUCGUUUAAGGGUAGCUAAUAGAUGUUAACGGACGUUAGAUAAUCUGUUAACGACUGAUAACAGAUAGUUUAUUUGGCCUGGUUAACGAAUGUUUAUGGUUUAAACGGUUGGUUAACGAUAUCUUCAUGUUUAAAAUGGCCACAUAUAAAAUUGUGGUAUAAAAUGGCCAUAAUUUGAAAGUUGGAGUAUUAAACGACAUUUUUCCUGUUGUAAUUUGUCAACACCGUGAAUUUUACUGGGUGGGGUUAUCUUUGUCUUGUGUUGUGUUUUCAUUGGUCACUAAAAUUUGACUUUUUCGUCCAAUAAUUUUUGAACUCAAUUAAAUUAUAAUAAACUUUUUUUUUUGUCAUCUGAUAAUUUAUUAAAGAAAAAAAUAAUAAAGUACAUAGUUAGAUCCAAAAGCCAAGUAGAACAGAAAGAGAAACAAAAUAAAAGAGAAACAACGAGAGAUACAAAAUGAAAUUUAAACUUUACUCUCCUCAAACACUUGAUUGUGAAACCAUGAAGGCUCUCCAAGUGCUAUGUAAGACUGAAACCUUCUUUCUUGAAUCACACUUCGAGAAAUGGAUCGCGCGAUCAGAUUUGCGUUUGUGGCAAUAUGACGGAAUGUACAAGAUUCAAAUGCACCAGCAAUCUCAUGGAUUUGUGCUAACCAAUUCCUGUAGAAAGGCCAUUUGGACGGCUGCAAAACGGCGUUAACUGCGGCUGGAUAUUCCAACUCUAUUAUCACCUUGGAGACGUGAAUAUCUUGAAAUGCUUUCAACGACCGUAGAAUGCAGCACAGCUCAGCCCCUGUUCGAUCUUGAAUUGGCGUAAACGCAUCUCGUGCAUGGUGUUUAGCUUGCCCUAUAUCUCUUACAAUUCAAGCUCCUCCACACAUCGAUUGUUUAUUUAUCCAAAAAGAAUUCAAAAUGCAUUUAAGAAUACCUUCUUGGGGUUUCCUCCAUUUGUUUCCAUCCAAAUUGGAGGUGAUUGCCGAGAGAAUACUGUUGAAGGCUACGUGUUCACCAUUUUCCAAUGCAUUGUGUCUUCAUACGCUUUUUGAACUAAAACAUGAAAAUUCCAUACCUUUACUUUGAAAACGGUAUGAUUACGAUUCUUCCAAAUUGCCCAUAGAACCCAUGGAAUUGAUAGUCGAGUUUGCUUUGGUAUGUGCUUGUCUUCGAUAACAUUCAAUAGAUGAGAGAAGUUUGCUAGUAAGGUUGUUGAAGAAAAACCUUGAUCCGAAGCUUGCACAAAAUGCUGAGAUUAAUAUGCUUAAAAGGAGAAUAUGGAAUCUAAAAUCUGAGCCACAAAUCAAGCUUUUCUGUUGGCGUGCUCUUUCUGGUGCUUUGGCUGUGGCAGAACGUUUAAGCUCACAGGGAAUACAACAUGACACAAAGUGCCAAAUUUGUGGUAUAGCUACAAAAACAAUAUGUCAUACUCUAUUCUCUUGUGACGUAUAGAAUAAGAAAAUGAUGAAUUUUGGUGUAAAUUAUUUAUGUAUCUAAUAGUAGUUAUUAAAAAAACCAUUGUAGUAUAUGAAAGUAAACUGAAUGUUGAAUGAUGAUGUGUAAGAGAGAGAAGAUGAUGUGUAGGUUGUUGUAAUUUUAAACCAAUGUAAAUAGUCUAAUAAAAAAAUAUUUGGGUUCACCCCACUCUUGUUCACCCUCUCUUAAUAAGCCAAUCAAAAUACAACAAAAUGCCAUGUCGUUUAAUAUUUAACAAUUAAAAUAUUUGGGUUCACCUCUAGGGUGGUUAAAGUUUAGAUUUUAUAAAUAAUUGAAAAUAUAUUUUGGUUGAGUUUAUAAAAUAGUGGUUAGAGUUUAAAUUUUAUAAAUAAACAAAAUUAUAUUUCGGUUUGGAUUGAUAAAAUAGUGGUUAGGUUUAGAUUUUGUAAUUAAACGAAAUUAUAUUUCGGUUUGGGUUGAUAAAAUAGUGAUUAGGUGUUAGAUUUUGUGAUUAAACUAAAUUAUAUUUUGGUUUUGGUUGAUAAAAUAGUGGUUAAAGUUUAGAUUUUGUGAUUAAACGAAAUUAUAUUUUAGUUUGGGCUGAUAAAAUAGUGGCUAGACUUUAGAUUUUGUAAUUUAAUUAAUUUAUUUUUUCAAUAUAUGAUAUGUCAAAUUCUAAUUGGUCAUUAAAAAAUGGUGAACCCAAGAAUUGUUCUUGUAAUAAUUAAACUUCUUAGAACAACAAAAAUUUACAAUAAAUUUAUAAAAGGAACAAUUAAAAAAAAAAAAAGGAGCAAAAAGCAUGAUAAAAGCUGAGAGAGGAAACUUAAAAAGCACACUUGUUUCCAAAACUAAAUAGGGUCAGUCCCAAAAUUGGAUUUGUAUAGUAACAAAUGAAUAACGGAAAAGAGAGUUUCAAGAUCUACGAACAACAGCAGUAGCGAAAUAAGGAUGAUGGGUGAACUCAAACGAUACCUUAAGCGAACGGUCUUGACAGAAAAGGUUCACAGCAACAAUAUUGCGUUCCGCGACUUUCUCUAAUCCCGUGACUUCAGCCAGCUUAUCAGGAUCGUUGGCGUAACCGACCUUUAUGUCCUUAGCGAUCUUUUGAGCAUCGUGAAAGUACUCAUACAUAGGAAGAUACUGCAGCAAAAGUAAAUAGAUACAACUUUACUUGCAUGUUCAAAACUCUUUCUAAUCGAACAUAGUAGAUUUAUACGUGUACACAUUCAUCACUAAAACAUUGUAAACAUUACCUAUGUUAUUAUUUGCUCAAUGAAGAUUGGGAUCUCAAUUUUCAUGUGUUUAUAUUUAUUAAUCAAGUUAUUGCUUUUAAGCAAAUAGUUAACUAAUAAAUCCUACAUAGAUAUAUUUUAAAUAAACUGUGAAUCCUAAAUUUUUCCGUAUUUUCCGAAUUACCUGAACCGAACUCAAGAUUUUGCGAUUUAUGGUAUUAAAGCAGAUAGUGAUUGUAGGUACCCGGACUACCUUUACAGUACUCGAUUCCCUAUCACCCAACCAAUUUUUUUAAGUGUAUGCUUCGGGUAGUAGAUUUAGAUAUACCUGAAAUAACCAUAUCCAACCCUUACCAGCUAUUACCUGACUCUAUACCCUAAAUGCACAUGCCUACUUCUACAAUUCAUUUGACCAAGUAAACAGGAUUAAGCACAAAAACAAAGUUGAAUAAAGCACACUUACGUCGAGACGAGCAUGGGAUGUGGAUUUUGAGAACGAUUCAUAUGCGUCAUAUUCUGGAAGGGAUGCCUUCUGAAGGAGUUCAAAAUGCUGUAUAAAUUUCUGCAUGUCAAGGAAAAUGGGUAGUUGAAGUCAUACACAGGAAGGGAUAAAACCACUCACCCAUUACUAAGGCUGAGGAUUUUUAUCUUACACAUUAAUUCAAUAACUAUGCAACAGAUAAAGAGACUUAUGCUUACCUCAUUUUCGGUAUUAAAAGGUCCUUGACUCUUUAAAGACAUUCCUUCAUUUCUCAAAGCUGCAAUCAUCUACGGGUAAAUACACAAGGUUUGGUCAGGUUUAGAGUACUUGAUAUCAGCAAUAGAAGGAGCUGGAAACCAAGAGAUUGAAGACAAAAUUACCACUGUGAGGCCUUGUGCAAGACAGGUCUGACAUUUGAGAAACAAUACCCAUAGACUAAUCCGAUCUUCCCGAGCCAUGUCCCUAGAAUACUCCUUAUUCCUCUUUGCUUUUCUUUCCUCUGAUCCAGAUGAAGGUAAAUGCAUUAUAAAAAGCUACAAAUACACACUAUGCAGUUAUGCCAAACCAAUUACUGUACAGAUGGUUCAUCUCCGAAACACUAGGACACAAAAUAAAAACAAAUGGAUAUAUGAAUGCUUACCAGUGUUCACAACGAUUAAGACCCUGAAACGUGCUCUUUCGGCAAGCUUCCAGAGUAUAAUAUACAUGUACCAGUAUACCAUGCAAUAUUCACUUGGCGAGUAGAGGUCUAGGUCAAAUCCCAGCAUGAGAAAGCGAAUUGCCACCCAAUUAAUUUGCUCUUCUAAUCCACCAUAUAUAUGGUUUAAAAUGAGUAGAGACUUAUCCUGAAAGGUACAUAAAUGCAAGUUAACACAAAAUUCAAUAUCUGCUUAUCAAUAGAGCCAAAAUUUUCCGAAAGAGAAAACAGAAGUUGUAGGAAUUUUGACUACUGGUUUGUUCAUGCUAACAAUGAAUAGACAGCCGUCAACUAGAUUCAGAUAGAGGUUUGAUUAAAUGGACCCAUAGUGAUGGUAGUAAACCUACCCCAUUUUUCGAACUGCGUGAUGUAUCUUGCUGCAUCAUUUGACCAACAGCAAUCCCCAUCUGCCAAAUACAGGAAAAUGUAUGAAUGAGAUCUUGACACAAAAACCCAAAUCAAUAUGCAAACAAUUUUAGGGUAAGCGAGCUUACAUAUAGUUAAGUAAAGAAUAAUACAGUUCCAACAAAGGCACAAAUGGUAUAACCUGCACAUGGAAUACGCUCCAGUCAUUUAAGAUUUUCCCAAGCUUACGCCUCUGCCAUGGGGUAUUAGCGCAUAGUAUUUUAAGUAGAUUAACCAUCAACUGCACCACAAAAUGAGAAUAGAGAUCAAACAGAGAUUUCUAAGAAAGGAGCCAGUUGAAUAAUUAUCUAACUUUUUCAGGAUCCAGAGGCUACCAAAACCACAAAACAUAGACAAGGCAUUCUCAUCAAAGUCCCCAUUAAAACAAAUAAUUUUUUGUUGUUUCAAUCUUCUUGAUGAUUGCAAAUUAGUUACAUCCACACAUGCUGAAAUUCUCUGAGAUUGGGGCUUAUACGCCAGACACCGAAUAUUGAACAAAACCAAUGAAAGAUUAUUCUUUUCAAGGUUUUACCAAGUUCCAAACUCUUUUCAAGGAAGAAUAAAGAGCUACCUCAUACACGUUUGUAGAAAAAAAUGUACCCAACGUAUUCUUUUAAUAUACUGUGUUUACCUGAUUAAGUUGAAGAAUGUACUCAUUCGUAUGGAGGCCAUGGUUCUUGGAGACAUCUAAUGCAAGAGAUCUGGCGCAAAUUGUCAAAAAGGUAUCACGGCCGUAAAGUUUCCCAUCUUGCACAAGGAGAAGCUGUAGAACAAGAUUAUUUAUUGAGUAUAAAAGGUAAAAGCAUUUUGCUAGCUUAAUACAUAAUUUAUUCACAAAUAUUGCUAAUAUCAUAACAAAAAUGGACAACCAUAUCAAUGCUUAACAGAAAUUUACAAUCAGAAUCAACCUCAACUACAAAUAUUGGAUCUAUAUUCUUAUAAGUCUUCAUAAGAAAGAAAAAUGAGAGUGUCAGCCACUACAUAUUCCAGUGUCAUCAUAAAUAAUAUCUAGAUAACAAUAAUAGUAAAGAGUCAACAAGAAGAAUAAGCAGAGCAUUCAACAGGCCUGUUGGCGAAAUGGGGCUUGAGGUGGUUCACGAGAGUUGGAUAUUCUCUAGUCCAUUGGUUCUAAGUUUAUGCAACUGUUCUUACAGAAAUAAAGGAGAUUUCUACUAUAGUCAUAUGGCUGAAUCACUCAACUCUAAGUGACAAUGAAUUGAAAAUGAGUGCUAAUGAACACAAAACUGCAAAGCAAGGAAGCGGGUAAAAGAAGAAGCCAUAUUAUCCACUAUACAAACACACCCUAGUGGAUGUAUGCGAACAUCAGUGCAACUACAGCCAAAAUAGUUACUCAAAACAAGAAAACAAAAUGAUAAAUGGGUAUCUGAAAGCACAGAGCUGCAUGAUAUUGAUGCGUUAAGUUAAAGUAACGCACCUGAAGAUGAGCCCUAGCAACCAAAUCAGGACGAGAUUUUUGAAACUGAAUCACAAACUCCAAGACGGCCUCUAAAUCUGGUUCCAAUGAAAAUGCACAGAUCUUAUCCAGAUUGUGAAGAAGUUUCACAUAAUAGUCAAUAGCCUGGAGAAUCAAAAAUUGAAAAAAGUUACUAAAAAGUUAUAUACACACAAACUAAAUUACGUAUACAGAGAAUUUAGAAGUCCCAACCUUUUUCCAAGAAAGAAGUUUAAUGGCACGUGGCGGCGUUGGAGCUGAUAAUCUUUUGUUUAAAGUAGGAUCAAAUCCAAUGGGGGACCGACCAGAAGCAGUUGUACUUUCUUCUAUCUCGUUUACGCCAUUCUCGAAAAUAUCUAAUCUUAGAAAUUCUGCUGAAUCCAGAACAGAAUCUAGCUCUGAUAUGCAAUAGCCUAUAUGUUUCCUUGCCAAUUCGAGGCCACGUCCUUGUGGUCGUCUCAUACAAUUAAGAGCAUGUAGAAAAUGCUGAAAGUUAUUGAGGAUAUGUUAAAACAACUAGCAGUGCAAAAGUAUAUAACAGCUACUAUUUUUUUUUUUAAAAUGGCUUACGAAACAAAAUAAUAAUAACAUCAUGAAUCACAUGUCUGGCGAGAAUUUUUAACCAAAAAUAAGGGUAAACAGGUAAUAAAAGCUGCCAUAUACUCAAAAUUUAGUCUCUGCUAAGCUUGUUCAUUCUUGUAAGUUGCAUAACAUGGAAAAUUUAACACAAUAAAACAUAUAUUAACUUUGUCUACCACUCCCCAUUGUGAGGUUAGGUUGAAGAAAAGCAACUCAUCAUACUCUUGUUACGUGUAGUUUAUCAAAGAAAGAAUAAAUAAAGCAUGAGACCUUACGGAACACUGGAUAAAAGACCAAAUGCAAAUUUUAAGUACUAAUUGUAGUUUUUCUUUUUCAAAGCAAGCAAUAAAAAAUUCUAUUCAUCGAUGGCCACCAGAAUACUAAUAAAAGGAACAGACUUGGGACUAUAUUAUACACUAGUUAACAUGACUUAAGUUGGGAAAACCUGUAAUUAACAACAUUUAUCAAAGAAAGAAUAAAUAAAGCAUGAGACCUUACGGAAACGUAUCCGGCAUAACAGAGAUUUGCAAAAACUCUCUUCCAGAUGGGGAUUACUUUGUAGAGGUUCCAAUUCUGCAUCUUUAACAAACAAAAGGAAAGAAAGUUAUUGUUCUCAGUUCGUGCUGCUGUGCACCAUUGUUACAAAUAAACAAUAGACCAUAUCACUCAAAGAGAUGGUAAAUUUUUAAAAAGAAAAAAUCAAUUGUAAUAAUCAGCGGACUUCACAUAUAAAUCAUUACUCAAUAGAAGACUCAAAGUUAUCGUAUAUAGGCCAGAGAGGCUAAUUUCAAGUUGGUAUAUGCUUAGAGAGCACUUGCAAAAUAUCUAAUUCCAAUGCAUUAUACUGUCUCCAAAUCACAAAUCACCAUUAAAUGUGUAAACAACAUAUCAUAAGAAAAGAAGCAACAGAAGACUCUUCGAUCCCCUCAUAUGAAUACGCUCUUCAUAUUUCAAUUCUGCAAGUGUGUGUAUGUAAAAUAAAAAAGGAAGAUAUGCAAAGCAAAAAAAGUACCUUCCAACAUUCUCCUUCUUGUGGCCUUACAAGCACGCAGCUGACGACAGAUAGUUUCUUCAACCGCAUUCAAGAGUAACAAGCCCUUGGCAUCUUCUUCUCCACUAAAAGGAAGACCAUAUGUCAUCGUAAAAAGAUCCUCUUCCUGUUAAUGAGCAGGUAUCAGGUGAAUCAUUCAGAGUAAACUAUCCAUGAAGCAGGGGCAUCUGUCUAGUUAAGAGAAACUUCUAUCCAAAAUAUCACAACAAAUCUUCUCAAGUAUUUUAUCUUCAUUUAGCUGCAUAAUGGUGGAAAUUUCUACAGAAAUAAGUUAUACGCUCUGCUAAUCAUCUCAAGAUUAAAUAACAACUGCUUAGGCUAGAUGAGAACGGAUGCCAAGACUUCAUUAGAAGAGUAAAGUCAAGUGAAUCCAGUUUUCGUCUCUGAUGUCAUAAGCUUAAGGUUAAUGACAACUAUGAAAUGUCAAAAUGGGUUAGCAACUGUUUUUCUUUACGCCAUAAAAGAAUGUUGGACAUAGCAAAAGAUUUUAGGAGCAAACAUUGAACACAAACUAAACCUUUAAUGAAAAGCCAAAAAACAUACAGAAACAUUUGCUUAGCCCCACAAGAAUAAAAGAGGACCAAAAAUUGUAAAAGUUAAUUACUUCAUUUGUACGCGCAUCUGAAACAACAGAAACAACUGCCCUGCAAGUUGCUCGGAUGACCCUACAAUAAGAAUGUAAUAGAGCCUGUGAAGAUGUCCUCUCAGGCCUCAGAACAUAGAUGCAUGAAAACACAGUUUGGGCCAAUGAAUGACCCAUGUGCCAUGUUGCCUGCAAAAGAGUAGAGACACAAAAUGUGGAUAAAUCAACUCCAAGGCUGACAUGUUAGCUACAUACAUAUCUCUUUAUCACAAUUAUACCUUGCAAACUCACACAGUAUUAUAUGAGCACAUGUAAAGAAGAGAUUACCUCACACGCCAGGAGAUGGUCCAUAAUGUCAAUGAUGGAUUGCACAUUAACAGUACUAUCCGAACUUAUAGGGACGGGCGCAAAACCACUUUCGAUGGCUUCAUCUAUAGAAUAAAACGUAGACACCAUACCAGAAUCCAUCUUUGGGUCCAUUAUCUAGUACAAAGCAAGGACACCACACCAUGUUUGUUAUACACACUUAUAGCAACCUCACAAUCUAAGUUUACAGCUAAGAACAGUCCAAACAUAUUUUGUUACAAAAUAGAAACCUCUAAAGCAGACAUGGCAGCAAAAAGAUUGAAAUUAUCUCCAUUUAUGAGUUCACCUUCUUGAAGAUCUGCAAACAGAACGACUCAUGAAACUAAAACAAGUGGGGAAUACAAGCAAAAUAGGCAAUUGCGAUCAGUACCAGAGCAGGCGGCGGAGAGGAGAGGUGAUACAUCGGCCCAGACGGAGUUAUUAUCACCGGAAGGGAUAGAAGAAGAGGUUUUAGAGUCGUGAUGAAUCGGAGAAGACGAAUCUUCAUCUUCCCUAACUGAUUGCAUCGUUUGUUGUUGUUGUUGCUCAGGAAACUUGAAAAUCGCUUUAAUCUCUCGUAAUUGGUUUUUUUUGCUACUUAUGGUAUAAGUUUCGUCUUGCUCGAUGGAACACUUUGCCUGGGCUGUUUAGGGUAAUUUUCGGGUCGGAUCCUCAGCGGAUACCCAACCCCCAAUCACCCGAGCCUCCUGCCGUCUUUUUUUUAUAAAUCAACCUUUAAAACCAACAAAAAGAUUUUCAAAAUUUUAAAUCUAUAGUUUUAUGGGUGAAUUUGCGGUAUAAUCAAAAUCUAAUGUAAAAUAAAAAAUAUAAAAUCUUAUUGAAAAAUAUUAAGAAAGUAAUUAGAUUAGUGAAAAGAUAAAAUUGUAUAGUGAAAGACACGCACAAUAAAAAAAAAGAAGAGGUUUUGAAUGUUUUGUAGAUUUUGUAAGAGUUUUUGGUUUUUGUUUUUUAAAAACUUAUUUUUAUACCAAUUAAGAUUUUAAAAUUUUGGUUUCCCUACAAUUUAGUAAAUUUAUUUUAUUGUAGUUUUCCAUUCAUGAUUUUAGUUUUUUAGUUUUCCUAAAAUUUAGGAAAUCUAGUUUUUAUUCAAUCAACGUUAUUUUUCUCAAAAACCAAAAACCGAUUUUUUGGGGUUUUUAAAACAAAAAUAUAAUAACAAAAAUCUAAAACUAAAAUCUAAAAUCUAUAAACUAAAAUCUAAACUCAAAAACUGAAUCAAAAAUCAGCAUCCAUUCAGAGCUAGAGUAUAUGAUGAUAUAUGUAAAAAAGUAGAGAGAAUAAUAAAGAGGAAUUGCAAAACUAACACAUUUUUACUAAAAUAUUAAGAAUAUAACAUUAUAUAUGUAUCAGUUAACUAACUAACCUAAAUGGUAGAUUAAAUGAUCAUAGGUGGUGGUUUGGAUCCGGCGACGGCGGUGGCUCCGGCGGCGGCGGUGGCUCCGGCGACGGCAGUGGCUCCGGCGACGGCGGUGGCUCCGGCGACGGCGGUGGCUCCAGGGACAGCGAUGGCUCCGGUGACAGUUCUGGUGGUGGCUCCGGCGAUAGCGGUGGCUUCGGCGAUAAUUCCGACAAUAACAGUGUCUCCAGCGAUAGUUCCGGCGGUGGUUCCAGGGACGGUGGAGGCUCCGGUGACAAUGGGAACACCGACGAUGGGGUGGUUGCUCUGGUGAUGUCAUUCGUUCUCGUAACGGGGGUAGCUCCGACGGCGACGGUGGUGUUGAUGACGGUGGCUGUGGCGGCGGUAGUGGGUGUAGUGAUGAUUGUUGUGGUGGUGGUUAAUGGUGAUUAUUGUGAUGGCGAAAUUAUAAUAUAAUAUAUUAUACAGUUAUUAUAGUGUAAAUUUUUUCUAAUAGGCUAGUUUCUUAAUUUGUAAUUUUUUUUAAGUUAUACAUGCAAAUUCCCAAAAUACUAAUGACAUGGCUAAAUUAAUAUCACCCCAAAUAAUUUUGCUUGUUGAUUUAGUCUUAUAAAUUUUGCAAUAAUUUUAUAAGAACAUAGAUUUUUUUGAGUAUAACAUGAUUUAAAUUUUUAAAAUCUAAUACAAAUUAUUUAAAUUAGGGAACAAUGUUUGUCUAAACCACACAAAUAAAAUAGUAUAGAACAAAACGUAGAUAAUUCAAAAGGCCGAGUUAAACCGCUCUAAUAAAAAAAAUACUAUCCCUAUGAGAUACAAUAUUGGCAAUCCAAGUAACUAAGGUAAACUAUAGCGGUGAGCCGGUGACGUUGACGAUGGUAAUAGUGGUGGUGGCAACGAUGAUGGUAGUGGUGGCAGUGGCACUAAAAAUGACAUUGAUGGUGGUAAUAUUAAUUGUUAGUGGUGACAUGAUGAUGGUAGCGGCAAUGACGGUAGUGGCGGUGGGAUGGUAGUGUAGUAAUAAUUGUUACUUGUUAGUAAUGGUAAUUAUAAACUAGUUUUUUAUUUUAUUUUAUUUUAAUAUAAAAAUAUAUAUAGAAGAUGAGAUUACUAGCUAGAGAGAAAGGGAGAAAGAAAAAUCCACAUGUAUUGAUAAAUAAAUAACCAGAGCAAAAUACUAAUAAUUUACAAACUCCCAAAUAUUGUGUUAUAAAUAGGUUUAGUGUUUUCAAUGGGUUGCAAAUAAAAGAGUCAAAUAGGUAGAAGAGACCUUUGGGGAAACUAUAAAAUUUAGCAUUCGUGGUAGAUGAAGAAGGGAGAAUC